AACCUAGCACACCUGCGGUGUGUACCUGCGGAGGGAUCAUUACCGAGUUUACAACUCCCAAACCCCUGUGAACAUACCUAUAUGUUGCCUCGGCGGAUCAGCCCGCGCCCCGUAAAACGGGACGGCCCGCCGCAGGAUCCACAAACUCUGUUUUUAUUGUAACUUCUGAGUAACAAAACAAAUAAAUCAAAACUUUUAACAACGGAUCU
RNAcentral lists this unclassified non-coding RNA (209 nucleotides) under soil metagenome. RNAcentral describes it as "partial contains 5.8S ribosomal RNA, internal transcribed spacer 2, and large subunit ribosomal RNA". The record is from RNAcentral.